Non-coding RNA from Vicia faba (fava bean), 207 nucleotides. Lineage: Eukaryota; Viridiplantae; Streptophyta; Magnoliopsida; Fabales; Fabaceae. The record is from the annotation of a GenBank genome assembly.
AUGUUCCUAAAUUCCAGCAUUCGAGUCUACAUGCAAGUUGUUACAACACCUAGUUUUCAUGUUCACCUAAAUUACCAUAACAAUAACAUUAAUAUAAAAAAUAACUUGAAUACAGUACAGCUACUCCAACUACUCCAAGUUCCUAGCCUGAAAAAUUAUGAAGAAAGGUCAAAGGACAUAAAUCUCAAUAUACUGGCCGUCGAUUGA